GCCAAAAGUCCCGCCCCGACUCGAUGCGCACGCACGGAAAUACCCCUCUCCUGAGCUUUCAUUGGUUCAGACGCCAACGGCGACUGGCGCUUAGUACCCUGGGUAAUGUAGUUCUCACAUCUUCAAAGGCCCAAGGACUGUAUGCUCACCACUGGGGUGUCCAGGGGCAAUGGCACCAGGAGAGAUUCUGGGAAGUGGUGUCUCCAGCCUCCUAGGGCGAGGGAAGACCUUUGCUCUUUGUUUAAGAGGCUGUAUGCAGAUUCCUGGGGAGUGUUGUCGGCAACUGAUCACCUAAGUGUUUACGGAUAUUAUUUCAGACUUCUUGAAACCUAGCAUGCUCCCAGAGUCUAAAAGUAUUGUCUCAGGUGCUCCCAAUGAGUACAAAUCCAAAGGGAUGUAUCAUUCCACAAAGUCCUUCAGACACACAAUGUGUCUACUCUUAGCUGGAACCUGGUACUGUUAACUAACCCUUGUGCCACCGAACUCCAGGGAGUGGACUCUUGGAUUCAUUUGUUCACCUAAAGAAGGCAACAACCCCAACUGGACCUGCACACUGUCCAGUGAGCUGAAAUUGAAGAUUUCCGGGAAUUGAAGCGAUGGCAUCUGAAGGAGACAGCUCUCCUGAGAUGACUGGGCCAGGCCUGUACACCCUUUUCUCACUGUUGCUUCUUCAUUUUCUCCCUCUCUUUCUUGGAAGGACAAUGCCUUUGCUUCCCUUUCCCAAUCUAUUGCAAAAGGGGGAAACCUCUCUGAUUGUUGGAUUUGUCAUCAGAAUCCUCAAUUUGUCCAAGACAGCAAUGACCCCUUAGUUCACCCUAUAAGUAACUUCACUAGAUUCUAUAUGCCACCGCAUGGCUAAAUUGUUCUGCAAUUCCCUUUUAUAAAGUUAGAAUACUAAACGCAUGUAACCUCAUUCCUUGCUUCAAUUUAGCCCUAAGAUGGGAAAAUGAGAUCUCUCGACUGCAUGCGAGACACUGCAGGGCAGCCAAUAUAAAUUGGGCCAUUUGUAAGCUUGCUGACAUACCCAUAUAUUUAGGUUGUCUUUCAAUAUGUAAUAAUACAUUAU
This 1066-nucleotide long non-coding RNA is filed under the name Equus asinus (donkey). RNAcentral describes it as "lncRNA (ENSEASG00005030155.1)". The record is from RNAcentral. Lineage: Eukaryota; Metazoa; Chordata; Mammalia; Perissodactyla; Equidae.